GACGAACGCUGGCGGCGUGCUUAACACAUGCCAGUCGAACGGAGAGGCCCUGCUUUUGUGGGGUGCUCGAGUGGCGAACGGGUGAGUAACACGUGAGUAACCUGCCCUUGACUUUGGGAUAACUUCAGGAAACUGGGGCUAAUACCGGAUAGGAGCUCCUGCUGCAUGGUGGGGGUUGGAAAGUUUCGGCGGUUGGGGAUGGACUCGCGGCUUAUCAGCUUGUUGGUGGGGUAGUGGCUUACCAAGGCUUUGACGGGUAGCCGGCCUGAGAGGGUGACCGGCCACAUUGGGACUGAGAUACGGCCCAGACUCCUACGGGAGGCAGUAGUGGGGAAUAUUGCACAAUGGGCGGAAGCCUGAUGCAGCAACGCCGCGUGCGGGAUGACGGCCUUCGGGUUGUAAACCGCUUUCGCCUGUGACGAAGCGUGAGUGACGGUAAUGGGUAAAGAAGCACCGGCUAACUACGUG
This 468-nucleotide ribosomal RNA is filed under the name uncultured bacterium. RNAcentral's name for it is "partial 16S ribosomal RNA". It matches the Rfam family "Bacterial small subunit ribosomal RNA", at positions 28 to 507 of the family's 1533-position model. The record is from RNAcentral.